RNAcentral lists this ribosomal RNA (2900 nucleotides) under Clostridioides difficile. RNAcentral's name for it is "23S ribosomal RNA". It matches the Rfam family "Bacterial large subunit ribosomal RNA". Lineage: Bacteria; Bacillati; Bacillota; Clostridia; Peptostreptococcales; Peptostreptococcaceae. The record is from RNAcentral.
UGGUCAAGUUAUUAAGGGUGCAGGGCGGAUGCCUUGGCACUAGGAGCCGAUGAAGGACGUGAUAAGCUGCGAUAAGCUUCGGGGAGUUGCACGUAAACUUUGAUCCGAAGAUUUCCGAAUGAGGAAACUCACUUAGAGUAAUGUCUAAGUAUCAUUAAGUGAAUACAUAGCUUAAUGAGGGGAACUCAGGGAACUGAAACAUCUAAGUACCUGAAGGAAGAGAAAGAAAUUCGAUUCCGUAAGUAGCGGCGAGCGAACGCGGAUUAGCCCAAACCAAUAAAGUUUUCUUUAUUGGGGUUGCGGACAUAUCAUAACGAAGAGGUAUCGUAAUUGAAGAGGUUUGGAAAGACCCACCACAGAAGGUAAUAGUCCUGUAUGUUAAACGAGAAGACUUUAGAUAUGAUCCAGAGUACCACGGGACACGUGAAACCCUGUGGGAAGCAGGAGGGACCACCCUCCAAGGCUAAAUACUACCUAGUGACCGAUAGCGUAUAGUACCGUGAGGGAAAGGUGAAAAGAACCCCGGGAGGGGAGUGAAAUAGAACCUGAAACCCUGCACUUACAAGCUGUGGAAGCACAUUUCUUGUGUGACCGCGUACUUUUUGUAGAACGGGCCAACGAGUUACGUUAAGUAGCAAGGUUAAGCACUUAAGGUGCGGAGCCGUAGCGAAAGCGAGUUUUAACUGAGCGUUCAGUUACUUGACGUAGACCCGAAACCGGGCGACCUACCCAUGAGCAGGAUGAAGCGAAAGUAAAAUUUCGUGGAGGUCCGAACCCACGAGCGUUGAAAAGCUCGGGGAUGACUUGUGGGUAGCGGUGAAAUUCCAAUCGAGCCCGGAGAUAGCUGGUUCUCCCCGAAAUAGCUUUAGGGCUAGCCUCAAGGUGAGAGAUACGGAGGUAGAGCACUGAAUGUCCUAGGGGGUAUUGCACCUACCGAAGACUAUCAAACUCCGAAUGCCGUCAUCUUAUACUUGGGAGUCAGACUGUGGGUGAUAAGAUUCAUAGUCGAAAGGGCAACAGCCCAGAUCGUCAGCUAAGGUCCCUAAAUGUAAGUUAAGUGGUAAAGGAUGUGGGAUUGCACAGACAACCAGGAUGUUGGCUUAGAAGCAGCCACUCAUUCAAAGAGUGCGUAAUAGCUCACUGGUCGAGUGUUCCUGCGCCGAAGAUUUCCGGGGCUAAAACUUACUACCGAAGCUACGGCAUCAGUAAUGAUGGGUAGGGGAGCUUCCCAUACGGGUUGAAGCAUGACCGUAAGGACAUGUGGACAGUAUGGGAGUGAGAAUGUUGGCAUGAGUAGCGAGAUGUGGGUGAGAAUCCCACAGGCCGUAAACCCAAGGUUUCCAGGGGAAGGUUCGUCCGCCCUGGGUUAGUCGGGACCUAAGCUGAGGCCGAAAGGCGUAGGUGAUGGACAACAGGUUGAUAUUCCUGUACUACCGAUAACCGUUUGAGAGAAGGGAUGACACAGUAGGAUAAGCUAAGCACACUGUUGGUUAUGUGUGCCCAAGCAUUGAGGCAGUCAAAGUAGGCAAAUCCGCUUUGAUAAUGCUGGGAUGUGAUGGGGAGCGAAAUUUAGUAGCGAAGUAGCUGAUUUCACACUGUCAAGAAAAGUCUCUAUCGAGGUUAAAGGUACCCGUACCGCAAACCGACACAGGUGGGUGAGGAGAGUAUCCUAAGGCCAGCGAGAGAACUGUUGUUAAGGAACUCGGCAAAAUGACCCCGUAACUUAGGGAUAAGGGGUGCCACCAUCAGGUGGCCGCAGAGAAUAGGCCCAAGCGACUGUUUACCAAAAACAUAGGUUUCUGCUAAGUCGCAAGACGAUGUAUAGGAGCUGACGCCUGCCCGGUGCUGGAAGGUUAAGGGGAUCUGUUAGAGCAAUCGAAGCAGUGAACUUAAGCCCCAGUAAACGGCGGCCGUAACUAUAACGGUCCUAAGGUAGCGAAAUUCCUUGUCGGGUAAGUUCCGACCCGCACGAAAGGCGUAACGAUUUGGGCACUGUCUCAACAACAGACUCGGUGAAAUUGUAAUUCCGGUGAAGAUGCCGGAUACCUGCGACAGGACGGAAAGACCCCAUGGAGCUUUACUGUAGCUUGACAUUGGGUCUUGGUACUACAUGUACAGGAUAGGUGGGAGGCUUUGAAACCAGGACGCCAGUUUUGGCGGAGCCAUCCUUGGGAUACCACCCUUGUAGUACUGGGACUCUAACCAUAGGCCAUGAAUCUGGUCUUGGGACACUGUCAGGUGGGCAGUUUGACUGGGGCGGUCGCCUCCCAAAAGGUAACGGAGGCGCUCAAAGGUUCUCUCAGUACGGUCGGAAAUCGUACGUAGAGUGUAAAGGCAAAAGAGAGCUUGAUUGCAAGACAUACAGGUCGAGCAAGGAUGAAAAUCGGACUUAGUGAUCCGGUGGUUCUGCGUGGAAGGGCCAUCGCUCAACGGAUAAAAGCUACCCUGGGGAUAACAGGCUUAUCUCCCCCAAGAGUCCACAUCGACGGGGAGGUUUGGCACCUCGAUGUCGGCUCAUCACAUCCUGGGGCUGUAGUAGGUCCCAAGGGUUGGGCUGUUCGCCCAUUAAAGUGGUACGCGAGCUGGGUUCAGAACGUCGUGAGACAGUUCGGUCCCUAUCCGUCGCAGGCGUAGGAAAUUUGAGAAGACCUGUCCUUAGUACGAGAGGACCGGGAUGGACGUACCUCUGGUGUACCAGUUGUUCUGCCAAGGGCAUGGCUGGGUAGCUAUGUACGGAAUGGAUAAGCGCUGAAAGCAUCUAAGCGCGAAGCCAACUUCAAGAUAAGAUUUCCCACCGCAAGGGUAAGACCCCAGAAAGACUAUCUGGUUGAUAGGUCGAAGGUGUAAGUGCAGCAAUGUAUUUAGCUUAUCGAUACUAAUAGGUCGAGGACUUGACCAAU